GUCCACGCCGUAAACGAUGAGUGCUAGAUGCUGUGGGUAUUGACCCCCGCGGUGUCGCAGCCAACGCGUUAAGCACUCCGCCUGGGGAGUACGGCCGCAAGGCUAAAACUCAAAGGAAUUGACGGGGGCCCGCACAAGCGGUGGAGCAUGUGGUUCAAUUCGACGCAACGCGCAGAACCUUACCUGGGUUAAAUCCACCAGAACCUUGCAGAGAUGUAGGGGUGCCCUUCGGGGAACUGGUGAGAAGGUGCUGCAUGGCUGUCGU
This 265-nucleotide ribosomal RNA is filed under the name uncultured bacterium. RNAcentral describes it as "partial 16S ribosomal RNA". It matches the Rfam family "Bacterial small subunit ribosomal RNA", at positions 793 to 1055 of the family's 1533-position model. The record is from RNAcentral.